RNAcentral lists this ribosomal RNA (254 nucleotides) under uncultured bacterium. RNAcentral's name for it is "partial 16S ribosomal RNA". It matches the Rfam family "Bacterial small subunit ribosomal RNA", at positions 524 to 776 of the family's 1533-position model. The record is from RNAcentral.
UACGGGGGGAGCAAGCGUUGCUCGGAUUUACUGGGCGUAAAGGGCGCGUAGGCGGCCACUGCAAGUCAGUUGUGAAAUCUCCGGGCUUAACCCGGAAAGGUCAACUGAUACUGCAGGGCUAGAGUGCAGAAGGGGCAACUGGAAUUCUCGGUGUAGCGGUGAAAUGCGUAGAUAUCGAGAGGAACACCUGCGGCGAAGGCGGGUUGCUGGGCUGACACUGACGCUGAUGUGCGAAAGCUAGGGGAGCGAACGGG